Molecule: non-coding RNA, 64 nt
Filed under: Lactobacillus selangorensis
Lineage: Bacteria; Bacillati; Bacillota; Bacilli; Lactobacillales; Lactobacillaceae
Description: Fluoride sequence
Rfam family: Fluoride riboswitch aptamer (crcB RNA motif)
Source: Rfam by way of RNAcentral
UAGAAAAUAGGGCAUGGUGUUCGCCCGAUGAAACUGCAUGAAUGCUGAUGACACCUAUCCGGAG